RNAcentral lists this ribosomal RNA (465 nucleotides) under uncultured bacterium. Its description in RNAcentral is "partial 16S ribosomal RNA". It matches the Rfam family "Bacterial small subunit ribosomal RNA", at positions 28 to 507 of the family's 1533-position model. The record is from RNAcentral.
GAUGAACGCUGGCGGCGUGCUUAAUACAUGCAAGUCGAACGGACAGGCUCCUGCUUGCCGGGGUACUCGAGUGGCGAACGGGUGAGUAUCACGUGGGUGAUCUGCACUGCAAUUCGGGAUAAGCCUGGGAAACUGGGUCUAAUACAGGAUAGGAUGAUGGUUUGGAUGCGAUUGUGGAAUGAUUUUCGGUGUGGGAUGAGCUUGUGGGCUAUCCGCUUGUUGGUGAGGUAAUGGCCUACGAAGUCGUAGACGGGUAGCCGGCAUGAGAGCGUGUGCGGCCACAAUGGGACUGCGAGACGGCGCAGACGCCAACGUGAGGCAGCAGUGGAGAGUAUGGCGCAAUGGGGGCAAGUCUGUUGCGACGACCCCGGGAGGGUGAUGACGUCCUUCUGGGGAUAAACACCUGUCGCAGGAGACGAGGCGGAAUUGACGGUACCUGGUGAGAAAGCACCGGCUAACUACGUG